Molecule: long non-coding RNA, 248 nt
Filed under: Homo sapiens (human)
Lineage: Eukaryota; Metazoa; Chordata; Mammalia; Primates; Hominidae
Description: HSALNT0269762
Source: RNAcentral
AAAAAAGCCCCUGACCCACUUACCAACCCAAAACCCUUGGCCGCCCUGGGGGACCAGGCCCAAGCCCUGGCGUAGCACUGGAGACCCUUCCCACGCUGUCGCUGAAGCACUCACAGUCCAGCCCCAUCUUUGGCCACCCUCUUCUGUUAGACCAGCAAGUCCCAACUGUGCCAGGUAACACCCAGGAAGUGUGUGAACAUUGACAGCUCCAGGGCUCACCUCCAGCUCUGCUGAGUCUUGGAUUUUUU